UAAUACGGGAGGUGCGAGCGUUAAUCGGAAUUACUGGGCGUAAAGCGAGCGUAGGCUGUUAAUUAAGUCGAAUGUGAAAUCCCCGGGCUCAACCUGGGAACUGCAUUCGAAACUAUUUAACUAGAGUAUGGGAGAGGAAAGUAGAAUUUCCGGUGUAGCGGUGAAAUGCGUAGAUAUCGGAAGGAAUACCAGUGGCGAAGGCGGCUUUCUGGAACAAUACUGACGCUAAGGUUCGAAAGCGUGGGGAGCAUACAGGAUUAGAUACCCUGGUAGUCCACGCCGUAAACGAUGAGAACUAGAUGUUGGGAGGAUUGGCCUCUCAGUGUCGCAGCUAACGCAAUAAGUUCUCCGCCUGGGGAGUACGACCGCAAGGUUG
RNAcentral lists this ribosomal RNA (376 nucleotides) under uncultured Gammaproteobacteria bacterium. Its description in RNAcentral is "bacterial SSU rRNA". It matches the Rfam family "Bacterial small subunit ribosomal RNA", at positions 521 to 896 of the family's 1533-position model. Lineage: Bacteria; Pseudomonadati; Pseudomonadota; Gammaproteobacteria. The record is from RNAcentral.